CAGAACAACGAAAGUUGUUCGUGAGUCUCUCAAAUUUUCGCAACACGAUGAGCUAAUCUGCGAUAAGCGCCGGUAAGGUGAUAUGAACCGUUAUAACCGGCGAUACCCGAAUGGGGAAACCCAGUGUGACUCGUCACACUAUCAUUAACUGAAUCCAUAGGUUAAUGAGGCGAACCGGGGGAACUGAAACAUCUAAGUACCCCGAGGAAAAGAAAUCAACCGAGAUUCCCCCAGUAGCGGCGAGCGAACGGGGAGGAGCCCAGAGCCUGAAUCAGCAUGUGUGUUAGUGGAAGCGUCUGGAAAGGCGCGCGAUACAGGGUGACAGCCCCGUACACAAAAGCGCAUGUGCUGUGAGCUCGAUGAGUAGGGCGGGACACGUGGUAUCCUGUCUGAAUAUGGGGGGACCAUCCUCCAAGGCUAAAUACUCCUGACUGACCGAUAGUGAACCAGUACCGUGAGGGAAAGGCGAAAAGAACCCCGGCGAGGGGAGUGAAAAAGAACCUGAAACCGUGUACGUACAAGCAGUGGGAGC
This 532-nucleotide ribosomal RNA is filed under the name Salmonella enterica. RNAcentral describes it as "partial 23S ribosomal RNA". It matches the Rfam family "Bacterial large subunit ribosomal RNA", at positions 1 to 580 of the family's 2925-position model. Lineage: Bacteria; Pseudomonadati; Pseudomonadota; Gammaproteobacteria; Enterobacterales; Enterobacteriaceae. The record is from RNAcentral.